GUCUAUGGCCAUACCACACUGAAUGCGCCAGUCUCCCCUGAUCAUGGAAGCUAAAGCAGGGUCAGGCCUAGUUAGUACUUGGAUAGGAGAAAUAAUACCUUUGAAA
This 106-nucleotide ribosomal RNA is filed under the name Propithecus coquereli (Coquerel's sifaka). The record is from RNAcentral. Lineage: Eukaryota; Metazoa; Chordata; Mammalia; Primates; Indriidae.